Molecule: long non-coding RNA, 1448 nt
Filed under: Homo sapiens (human)
Lineage: Eukaryota; Metazoa; Chordata; Mammalia; Primates; Hominidae
Description: HSALNT0409173
Source: RNAcentral
GGAAAAACAGGACCUUACAAAAUCCUUGCAAACUUGCAGAAAUAGUUACAAAAAUAGUUAUACAAGCAGAACAAAGAAUGAUGGCAUGGGUAGAGAAUUUCAGGAAGACACUGAUAAGAACUUGUUUCUCUUGUCCCUGUUUUUGGAACCCAUUUCUUCAGGGCCCCUACCUGGCCUUGCAGAAGAGUCCAGCAGAACAAAGUUGGAAGCAGAGGGAGUGAAUCUAAACCUAUGGACAGAUUCAUCUUGGAAACCCUAAGUGAGGCUAAAGGGAGAAAACAAAUUGGAAGGAGAUUUAAAGGAUUCUCAAAUACAAACUGAAGUUUUCAAGAACAGGAUCAUGAAGGACAGUAAAAAUCAGGAAUUGCCAAACUUUGUCACAAUGGCUGUACAACAUCAGUGAGCCGAAGUCAUACCACUGCAUUACAGCCCGGGCGACAGAGAAAGACUCCAUCUCAAAAAAAAAAAAAAAGGAUGGAUGGAAGAGAAGGAAAGGAAGAAAGGAGAAAAGGGAGGGAGGGAGGGAAGGAGGGAGGACUUGUAUGUGAGAAGUGACUUCUACCUUACUGCUUUAAAAAAUGUAUCUGUCUUUUGACAACAUAAAAUGUCUUGUGUCUAAACAUGGAUCCCUUGUAAUUCACGCAACUUCUUACAAGUGAAGAUUACAGUUUUUCAUCAAAUUUGUGAAGUUUUCAGCUAUUAUUAAACUAUUCUUUAAGCCAAUUUCUUUCUUCCCUCUCACUCCUGGUACAGUAUAUCUUGGUAUGCUUACUUCAUGGCGUUCCAUAGAUUAUAUAAGACUAUAUUAAUUUGUCUUAUUUUUCUUUCUCUUCAGACGAGAUAAUCUUAAUUGAAGUUCCUACAAGUUUGCUGAUUCUUUCUUCUGCCUGUUUAAAUCUACUUUUGAGUUCAUCUGGUGAAAUCUUCAUUUCAGUUGUCAUAAUUUUCCACCCCAGAUUCUAUUUAGUUCUUUUUAAUUUCUGAUUAUUGAUAUUCUCCACUUAAUGAGACAUCAUUCUCCUACUUUCCUUUAUUUCUUCACACAUGACUUCCUAAUUAGGCCUUUGAACAAUGUAAUAUAACUGAUUUAUAAGCUACUCUAGUUACUGUGUCUGGACUUCCUUAGAAUGAAUUUCUGUUGGCUGUGCUUUUUCUUGCGUAUAGGCUGUACUUUUUUUUUGGUUUUGUGCCUGUCUCAUUUUUUGUUGUUGUUGAAAACUGAACAUUUAAAAUAAUAUAAUUUGGCAACUGUGAAAAUCAGAUUCUUCAUUUUCCUAAUGUGUGUUAUGAUUGGUUACUGUUGCUUAGUAAACAACAGUACUGUGACUUUCCUAAACUAAUCCUAUAAAGUGUGUGUGUGUUUUGUCAUAUGCAGCAAUUUAAAAGUCUAUCUAAUUACAUAAAAUACAUAUUCAGCUUAUGACUUGACAGAGAUGUGUAGAACCAGC